GUGCUGCAACUACAGUUACCACAACAACUGCUGAAGCAGUCAUAACAAGGGAAUUGACAUUCAGAUCUCCAGAAGAGACAUUUACAAGUGACUUGCUGAAUCCAUCAUCUGCAGCCUUUCAAGCGCGAGCCACAUUGCUAGUGUCAACACUUGGACCUUUCUACAAAGAAGCUUUUUCUUCGUUCCGCACCAUCACGGUGAAUUCAUUCAGUAAUGGAUCAAUCAUCCAAACCAUGGACUUGAGAUUUUCAUCAACAUCUGUUCCUAAUGGCACUCAGAUUGGAAAUGUUUUGGUCGGAGCAGCUUCAAACAUCACAGCGUUCAACAUUGAUACCGCCUCCAUUUCUGUAGAUGGCACACAGGUUUCAAGUGGAGUAAGCCACAACAUCAGUCUCAUCACUGCAUCCUUCCUUGUGCUGAUGUCAUGGAUCCUGUCAAGCCAGCAAUAGCAUCAUUGCUGAUUACUGUUUGAAUUGGCAUUAUUGCAUCACUGCCAUCACAGGAAUGAAAAAUUACUUCUUGAUUCUUGUCAACGAAGUCUUGUACAGCUUCAGAUAAACUUACUAUCACAUUUUAUUUUGAAAUUACUGCACAUAUUUAUGAGAGUGGAUUAGGUUAAUGUCAAUCUGAACAUGUUUCUGGGUGGGAAUGUCUAGGAUCCUUCAACGAGCAGAAUGACACAGCAAGACUAAUAAGCAACACAAAAUACCAUUAAGCCCUGAGAUGUACAAAAAAAUGUGUUCUAGCAAUAAUUAAUCAAUUAAAUAAUUAAUUAAAGGAACAGCACUGCAGGUCAUCAUGAGUUGUGUAACCCUCUGUGAACCAAAUAGGCCUAGAGUUUUAUCAUCAUGAUAUAUACGGCAUAUAUGUCAAAACAUUGCAGUCAAUUUGUUUUAUUUAUUCAAGGUAUAUUUAUGUAUUCAUGCAUAGCUGUCUUCUCUGAGGUUUCUUAAUGUUUGUACAAUAUUUGUCAGAAACUUUACAAUGAUCAGAAUAAAAGGUUUUUGAAGAAUUUAAAUCUCUUAUGUGAUGUUUUGCAAAUUUGGUGGGAAGUGUAUCAAGGAUGUUUAAUUUCUUGCUGUGUCAGUGAAUCA
This is a long non-coding RNA of Cyclopterus lumpus (lumpfish), 1094 nucleotides long. RefSeq lists it as uncharacterized. NCBI's taxonomy places the organism in Eukaryota, Metazoa, Chordata, Actinopteri, Perciformes, Cyclopteridae. The transcript has 4 exons. The record is from RefSeq and is a predicted model, not a curated record.